UACGGAGGAUCCGAGCGUUAUCCGGAUUUAUUGGGUUUAAAGGGUGCGCAGGCGGGGGAUUAAGUCGGCGGUGAAAUUUUGCAGCUCAACUGUAAAAGUGCCUUCGAAACUGGUUUCCUUGAGUGUAGAUGAAGUAGGCGGAAUUUGUGGUGUAGCGGUGAAAUGCAUAGAUAUCACGAGGAACUCCGAUUGCGCAGGCAGCUUACUAGGCAUAACUGACGCUCAGGCACGAAGGCGUGGGGAUCAAACAGGAUUAGAUACCCGGGUAGU
This 270-nucleotide ribosomal RNA is filed under the name uncultured prokaryote. Its description in RNAcentral is "partial 16S ribosomal RNA". It matches the Rfam family "Bacterial small subunit ribosomal RNA", at positions 524 to 794 of the family's 1533-position model. The record is from RNAcentral.